RNAcentral lists this microRNA (21 nucleotides) under Corchorus olitorius. RNAcentral describes it as "ath-miR42". The record is from RNAcentral. Lineage: Eukaryota; Viridiplantae; Streptophyta; Magnoliopsida; Malvales; Malvaceae.
UUGAAAUUGCAGAUUUGGUAC